GCCUCGGCCAGCAAUUCAUUUUGCGCCGCCAUCUUGGAUGUUUACUUUCGUAUACUACGCAUGCGCUGUUAAGACAAUCCGUAAGCAAAAGCCUUUCGUUCGCCGCACACGGAAAGAUUUUGGCACGCGAGGCAGAAAUUAUCAAACAUGUUUGAUAUUUGGCGUAAGUGGCACGAAUGACAAAAGUUGUUCGUAAAUCGCCCGCACACGAGAGCUAUCUCCUUACGCCAAUGGGCACGAAUGAAAU
This 247-nucleotide long non-coding RNA is filed under the name Paramuricea clavata. The record is from RNAcentral. Lineage: Eukaryota; Metazoa; Cnidaria; Anthozoa; Malacalcyonacea; Plexauridae.